Molecule: transfer RNA, 49 nt
Filed under: Limnonectes shompenorum (Shompen frog)
Lineage: Eukaryota; Metazoa; Chordata; Amphibia; Anura; Dicroglossidae
Description: partial tRNA-Val
Source: RNAcentral
ACCCCUCAUUUACACUAAGGGAAUAUCCGUGAAAAUCAGAUUGUUUUGA